This 497-nucleotide ribosomal RNA is filed under the name uncultured bacterium. RNAcentral describes it as "partial 16S ribosomal RNA". It matches the Rfam family "Bacterial small subunit ribosomal RNA", at positions 28 to 507 of the family's 1533-position model. The record is from RNAcentral.
GAUGAACGCUGGCGGCGUGCCUAAUACAUGCAAGUCGAGCGAACAGACGAGGAGCUUGCUCCUCUGACGUUAGCGGCGGACGGGUGAGUAACACGUGGAUAACCUACCUAUAAGACUGGGAUAACUUCGGGAAACCGGAGCUAAUACCGGAUAAUAUAUUGAACCGCAUGGUUCAAUAGUGAAAGACGGUUUUGCUGUCACUUAUAGAUGGAUCCGCGCCGCAUUAGCUAGUUGGUAAGGUAACGGCUUACCAAGGCAACGAUGCGUAGCCGACCUGAGAGGGUGAGCGGCCACACUGGAACUGCGACACGGUCCAGACUCCUACGGGCGGCAGCAGUAGGGAAUCUUCCGCAAUGGGCGGAAGCCUGACGGAGCAACGCCACGUGAGUAAUGAGGGUCUUCGGGUCGUAGAUCUCUGUUAUUAGGGAAGAACAAAUGUGUAAGUAACUAUGCGCGUCUUGGCGGUACCUAAUCAGAGAGCCACGGCUAACUUCGUG